This 492-nucleotide ribosomal RNA is filed under the name uncultured bacterium. RNAcentral's name for it is "partial 16S ribosomal RNA". It matches the Rfam family "Bacterial small subunit ribosomal RNA", at positions 29 to 507 of the family's 1533-position model. The record is from RNAcentral.
AGUGAACGCUGGCGGUAGGCCUAACACAUGCAAGUCGAACGGCAGCACAGUAAGAGCUUGCUCUUACGGGUGGCGAGUGGCGGACGGGUGAGGAAUACAUCGGAAUCUACUUUUUCGUGGGGGAUAACGUAGGGAAACCUACGCUAAUACCGCAUACGACCUACGGGUGAAAGCAGGGGAUCUUCGGACCUUGCGCGAUUGAAUGAGCCGAUGUCGGAUUAGCUAGUUGGCGGGGUAAAGGCCCACCAAGGCGACGAUCCGUAGCUGGUCUGAGAGGAUGAUCAGCCACACUGGAACUGGGACACGGUCCAGACUCCUACGGGAGGCAGCAGUGGGGAAUAUUGGACAAUGGGCGCAAGCCUGAUCCAGCCAUACCGCGUGGGUGAAGAAGGCCUUCGGGUUGUAAAGCCCUUUUGUUGGGAAAGAAAAGCAGCAGGUUAAUACCCCGCUGUUCUGACGGUACCCAAAGAAUAAGCACCGGCUAACUUCGUG